AUCAGUCUAGAGAUGACAGCAUGGGUAUAGGCAGUUUUGAGGAAGGUAUGGGAGAGUCGCAGGGAGGUGCUCAGACCUCAGGUUUUGGCUAUCCAGAGUAUCCGAUGGGAGGUAUGUCGGAGUACUCGAGUUUUGUGCCAUAUCCUCCUUACAUGCCUUAUAUGCCUUAUCCGUACUAUCCACCAUAUCCUAUGUAUCCCUCUUCCCCUACCCAUCCAAGUGCAGCACACCUAGAACCAAAUGAACUAGUACUACCACCAGAACCAGUAGCCCCUGUUGUUGACAGACAUGAACCUAGCUCAUCUGGAG
Molecule: long non-coding RNA, 309 nt
Filed under: Manihot esculenta (cassava)
Lineage: Eukaryota; Viridiplantae; Streptophyta; Magnoliopsida; Malpighiales; Euphorbiaceae
Description: long non-coding RNA (MESC_LNC004018)
Source: RNAcentral